GUCGAGAAUCAUUCACAAUGGGGGAAACCCUGAUGGUGUGACGCCGCGUGGAGGAUGAAGGUCUUCGGAUUGUAAACUCCUGUCAUGUGGGAGUAAAGCCGGGUGUUAAAUGCAUGCCGGUCUGAGAGUACCACAAGAGGAAGGGACGGCUAACUCUGUGCCAGCAGCCGCGGUAAUACAGAGGUCCCAAGCGUUGUUCGGAAUCACUGGGCGUAAAGGGUGCGUAGGCGGCGCGGAAAGUCAGGGGUGAAAUCCCGGAGCUCAACUCCGGAACUGCCUUUGAUACUCCCGCGCUUGAGAACUGGAGGGGAGACCGGAAUUCACGGUGGAGCAGUGAAAUGCGUGGAUAUCGUGAGGAACACUAGUGGCGAAGGCGGGUCUCUGGACAACAUCUGACGCUGAGGCUCGAAGGCCAGGGGAGCAAAAGGGAUUAGAUACCCCAGUAGUCC
Molecule: ribosomal RNA, 449 nt
Filed under: uncultured bacterium
Lineage: Bacteria
Description: partial 16S ribosomal RNA
Rfam family: Bacterial small subunit ribosomal RNA
Source: RNAcentral